This 251-nucleotide ribosomal RNA is filed under the name Aliivibrio finisterrensis. RNAcentral's name for it is "partial 16S ribosomal RNA". It matches the Rfam family "Bacterial small subunit ribosomal RNA", at positions 1 to 247 of the family's 1533-position model. Lineage: Bacteria; Pseudomonadati; Pseudomonadota; Gammaproteobacteria; Vibrionales; Vibrionaceae. The record is from RNAcentral.
UUAAUUGAAGAGUUUGAUCAUGGCUCAGAUUGAACGCUGGCGGCAGGCCUAACACAUGCAAGUCGAGCGGUAACAGAAAUUAGCUUGCUAAUUUGCUGACGAGCGGCGGACGGGUGAGUAAUGCCUGGGAAUAUGCCUUAGUGUGGGGGAUAACUAUUGGAAACGAUAGCUAAUACCGCAUAAUGUCUUCGGACCAAAGAGGGGGACCUUCGGGCCUCUCGCGCUAAGAUUAGCCCAGGUGAGAUUAGCUU